CCCACGCCUUCAAGGUUCUCAAAGAAGCAACUUUGAGCCCCCCAAUUUCCCACCCUAGGUGCCCUCUUUCACCUUAGAGUCAGCAUCUCCUUAGGUUCCUGUUGGAUGAAGGGACAAAACACAGAGCCGCUCAGCUCCCGUCGUCCUUGCUCCUACCUCAGCCUGGAAACGGCCAGGGCUUCCUUUUUGAAGACUGUGUCCCCUUUCCUCGACUCCUCCUUGACCUCCCAGUAUCAGAGCCCCCAAGAGACCCUCAAGCACAAUCCCUCAUAAGUCUGUUUAUAUCCAGCCCUUUCUUAAGGAUUGUAGCCUCUGGCACUACCCCCACCCCAGCAGACCGACAGUCCAGGGGACCCCCACAAUCUCCGGGUUCACAACCUGCCAACCCCCUACCCCAAGACAGUCUCCCCAACUCACAUUCUCCAAAGGAGAGACCAGCACCCAGGGCAGGGGCUCCAGGGAAUUCACUGCCCCUCACCUGACAGAAAGAGGCUCAGCAGCGACACAGCCGUGAACAGGAAGCGGAUGGAACAGACCUCCCUGGGGAACCGG
RNAcentral lists this long non-coding RNA (552 nucleotides) under Homo sapiens (human). Its description in RNAcentral is "HSALNT0266682". Lineage: Eukaryota; Metazoa; Chordata; Mammalia; Primates; Hominidae. The record is from RNAcentral.